This is a long non-coding RNA of Varanus komodoensis (Komodo dragon), 243 nucleotides long. RefSeq lists it as uncharacterized. The transcript is spliced from 4 exons. The record is from RefSeq and is a predicted model, not a curated record. NCBI's taxonomy places the organism in Eukaryota, Metazoa, Chordata, Lepidosauria, Squamata, Varanidae.
AGGAAAUCAAAGGAAAAGGAUGCAGCAGCAGAAUUAAUAAGUAAAAUCAGCAACAGGUAUAAAGACAGGACAUCCUUAAAUCAGUCUAGCUUCAGUGUUAGCCAGAAGAAAAAUAAGAACAGAAGUUUUAAAAAUUUGAAAACUACUACUCUACUUAACAUAACUACUGAACAGCUUGUGGAUGAUGUCUACAAUUUCAGCCUAAGUGGAUUUGAUGAACCUACAAUAAAGCUUGGAGUAAGA